UACGUAGGAGGCAAGCGUUGUCCGGAAUUAUUGGGCGUAAAGCGCGCGCAGGUGGUCCUUUCAGUCUGAUGUGAAAGCCCACGGCUCAACCGUGGAGGGUCAUUGGAAACUGGGGGACUUGAGUGCAGAAGAGGAUAGUGGAAUUCCAAGUGUAGCGGUGAAAUGCGUAGAGAUUUGGAGGAACACCAGUGGCGAAGGCGACUAUCUGGUCUGUAACUGACACUGAGGCGCGAAAGCGUGGGGAGCAAACAGG
RNAcentral lists this ribosomal RNA (253 nucleotides) under uncultured bacterium. Its description in RNAcentral is "partial 16S ribosomal RNA". It matches the Rfam family "Bacterial small subunit ribosomal RNA", at positions 524 to 776 of the family's 1533-position model. The record is from RNAcentral.